GUCCCGUUACCUCAGAUGGAUAGAGGACCCGCCUCCUAAGCGGGCUGCCGGCAGUUCGAAUCUGCCACGGGACGCCA
Molecule: transfer RNA, 77 nt
Filed under: Bacilli bacterium
Lineage: Bacteria; Bacillati; Bacillota; Bacilli
Description: tRNA-Arg
Rfam family: tRNA
About the family: Transfer RNA (tRNA) molecules are approximately 80 nucleotides in length. Their secondary structure includes four short double-helical elements and three loops (D, anti-codon, and T loops).
Source: RNAcentral